CUAACUUUGUCUCCAGCAUGACCAAGCAACUUCGUGGGCUUUGGGCAUAAAAUCUCCAAAUGAGCCUUUCGAGCACUAUAAAUUGAAGCCCAUAAUUUUAGCUUUCCAACCAUAUGUCGUGAGCCUCAAUCUAGCAUCUCAUGAAGAUGGUACGUCCAAAACAAGGUUUCUGGUCCAGUGAUCAGUUUUGCACGUUUUUCUACAUCAUUUUGUAUCAAAUGCCUCCAAUGGUAACUAGAACUCAAUGAACCGAAUGACAAACACAAAAUAGAUUAAAAGCACAAGUUUCUUGUUAGAUUUAUUUUACUCUAUUUUUUUUUUCUCAAGUGCACGAACCAAUUAUAGUAUAGGAAUGCAAGAACAAGGUCGUUCCACAGAGAUUUGAAUGAAAGACACUUACUACUACUGAAUGAAUUACAGACACUUACUACUACUUAAACUCACAAUGAGGUUGAGUUUUGUUUGUUUGGAGUGAAAACUACUAAAAAGAAUGCAAAAUAAUAAAUUGACUAGCAAGUGAAUGUUUAGAAGAGUUUAGAGACAAUGAUAACAAGCACUAGGGGUUCAACUUCACCAUAACAAUCCAAUUCCAUGUUACAAGUUAAAAAACAUCAAAGUUGAUCAAUUCAGUUUCUGGAGUUCGUUCUUUCUUAAAUAUGAUUAUCGAUAUGGUGUUUGGUUUUAAUCAAGUAUUCAUAAUACAUAAUUUAGCUAUGGUGUUUAGCCUAAACUAUGAAUAUGAAUCCAUUAAGCUUAGAGAAGAACAAUAAGGAACCAAGUAAACAUUUAAACAUGGUGUUUGUCCUAAAUAUGGUGUCUAUGAAAACUUGAACUAUAUAACCAACAUGCAAGUGUCAAUAAUGGCCAACUAUUUAAACAUGCAUAAAGAUUCAACUAAGAACAAAUGAGUGAGACCAAAAACUAGAACUAAUCAACAAAAAGUAAAAUUAACUUGAAAACAUGAAACUCUCUUCUCAUGCUACAUUGAAACUCUAGCUAUGGUAAUUAGUAACACCCCAUUAAUGGAAGCAACAACAUUUGAAUCAUAAUAAACAUGAACGGUAUAAGAAAAACCCUUGAAAACGAAUUAUGAUGUUGAAGAGCUCCUCACAGCUUCUAACAUGUGUGCUUGCAGCCAGAGAUCAAGAGUAGUGUAGAUGGUAUUUCUGUGUUUCUGGUGGUUUCUCCUCUUCUCCUACUUGGUAUCAACGAAUUUCACUUUAUAAUAUGGCAUAUGAAUGUGUGGAGGGUGUGAAUGGAAGAUAAAUGAAUGAAUGUGUGUAGCUUUCUAUUUAUAGAGUGCCAAAUUCGUUCACCCCUUGGUUGGUGUGGAAUAGCCUUCUUAGCUGCUGCCCAACUACCUCAUUAAGUGCCAACUACUCCAGCUGCCCAAUAAAUGCUUU
This 1403-nucleotide long non-coding RNA is filed under the name Prunus persica (peach). RNAcentral describes it as "long non-coding RNA (PPER_LNC006753)". The record is from RNAcentral. Lineage: Eukaryota; Viridiplantae; Streptophyta; Magnoliopsida; Rosales; Rosaceae.